GCCUGGCUGGCUCAGUUGGUGGAGCGUGUGACUCUUGAUCUCGGGGUUGUAGGUUCGAGCCCCACACUGGGUG
Molecule: transfer RNA, 73 nt
Filed under: Ursus americanus (American black bear)
Lineage: Eukaryota; Metazoa; Chordata; Mammalia; Carnivora; Ursidae
Also listed under: 2 other names
Rfam family: tRNA
About the family: Transfer RNA (tRNA) molecules are approximately 80 nucleotides in length. Their secondary structure includes four short double-helical elements and three loops (D, anti-codon, and T loops).
Source: Rfam by way of RNAcentral